CAUCGACCAUCUCCAACUAGUUUUGUCCUGCUUUGAGCUUAUUAGGUGAUUGACUUUAAAUCACGACCAGUUUGUGCAGGAAUGGCCUAAUCUCCUCAUCUGUGUUUGAUCCUCAAUUAGUAAUAAAGACUCAAACUCUACCCAAAUUGUUCUGUCUAACUCCAAAAUAAUUCCUCCAACCUGAGUCAUCCAUGCCCUUCACUAAAGCACAUUCACCUGCUCCAGUGAAAUGGCCCAGCGGAAGCCACGCAACUGUCAUGAUACAUCCCAACAAAAGGGUCGUGAC
Arabidopsis thaliana (thale cress) is the source of this 286-nucleotide long non-coding RNA. RefSeq annotates it as other RNA. Lineage: Eukaryota; Viridiplantae; Streptophyta; Magnoliopsida; Brassicales; Brassicaceae. The record is from RefSeq. The transcript has a single exon.